Molecule: ribosomal RNA, 371 nt
Filed under: uncultured organism
Description: bacterial SSU rRNA
Rfam family: Bacterial small subunit ribosomal RNA
Source: RNAcentral
CAGAGGGUGCGAGCGUUAAUCGGAAUUACUGGGCGUAAAGCGCGCGUAGGCGGCUUAGCAAGUCGGGUGUGAAAUCCCCGGGCUCAACCUGGGAACUGCAUUCGAGACUGCUUUGCUUGAGUAUGGGAGAGGGAGGCGGAAUUUCCGGUGUAGCGGUGAAAUGCGUAGAUAUCGGAAGGAACAUCAGUGGCGAAAGCGGCCUCCUGGACCAAUACUGACGCUCAUGUGCGAAAGCGUGGGGAGCAAACAGGAUUAGAUACCCUGGUAGUCCACGCCAUAAACGAUGAGAACUAGAUGUCGGGAGGGUUAGCCUCUCGGUGUCGCAGCUAACGCGUUAAGUUCUCCGCCUGGGGAGUACGGCCGCAAGGUUG